This 6719-nucleotide unclassified non-coding RNA is filed under the name Mizuhopecten yessoensis (Yesso scallop). RNAcentral's name for it is "eLKS/Rab6-interacting/CAST family member 1-like, transcript variant X8". Lineage: Eukaryota; Metazoa; Mollusca; Bivalvia; Pectinida; Pectinidae. The record is from RNAcentral.
AUCGCGACUUGUUUUUUGGAAAUCAUGUCCCGGAUAACAUCAACAUUUGGAAAAGUAGAUGGACUUAGGUCUUCAGAGAAACUGCAGGGAGUAUUUUAGACCAUAACAAGACCAUACUAGAGAACCUGUGUGACAGCCGUUGUGUAUGAAGUCACUCUAAAAAGUCUUAAGGCAAAUCAACUGAAAUAUUUGAUAAGUUAUUGAAAGUAUGGCAGACAGUGGGAGGAUUACCAUGCCAAUAGGCGUCCAACCACCAGACGUUCUUGAAUGGUCAAGAACCCUUCGCUCACGAAGUCCAUCACCAACAAGAAUGAAUGGCCUGAGGUCUCGGAGUCCAUCUCCGACCAGACUCUCGAGUGCCAGAGACGAAAACGAAUCUGCUUCACACAAAGGAGUCUAUAUGACGGACGUCCCAACCAGUGCAGGUCUACCAAAAUAUUCUGUCAACAAGAUGAAGAAGUCAAAAUCUGGCUCCAGUGCUGGACUGCGGAAAUCUACGGGAAGUCUAGCUGCGACAUUUAACGGGACAAGUAGCAGUGGGAAGCUGAAUAAGUCGGGGUCUGGGACCCAUGACUUAGGAAACAUCGAGGCAGAGUACAUAAAAAAUCUACAACAGCAAAUCUACUUCCUGGAGCUGGAGUCCAACUAUCUUCGGGAGCAGGCACGCAAGGCGACCGAGAUGCACCCACACAUGACUGCUGAGGCAGAAAGAAUGCUCGUCAAAUUAAGAGCAAUGCAGUCAGAGAUGGACAAUGCUCAGUUAGAGUGUAAGAGUAAAGACUCGUCCAUCGCUCAGUCCAUCUGUGAGAGGGAGAGACUGGCAGAACGAAUUAGGGACGAAGAAGUGAAUCACCAGCGCAACAAACGACAACUAAUGGAUGAGAUAAUUGCUUUGAAGAAGACGCGGGAUGCAUUAGAGCAUGACAUGUCUAAUAAGGACGCCCAAGUCAGCGAGGCUCGACGAGAACUUGACAUGAGUGCUACAGCCAUAAGAAAUGCAGAGCUAAAAAUCUCCACACUGAAGACCCAGUUGGACCAAAGAACAGAGCAGCACAAAAUGACUCAGAUUGCCUUGGACGAGAAGCGCUCGGAAUGUCUAAGUACCGAGACUCAGCUACGGGAGAUCGAGGAGAAAUACUACAAUAACACCGUACAGAUACAGGACAAGCUUUCUAAUGACCUUAGGGAAGAAAUCAGGUUAUUGAGACAGAAGCUAAAAGAGACUGAGAUGAACGCAGACCAUGACCGCUAUCUGAAGAGCAAGAUGUCCGAGGACAGUACCAACUUAGCCCGAGAAAAUGCCCUCCUUGAGCAAAAGCUUCAGGAGCUAGAGAGCCGGUUUAUCAGGGAGAAAGAGAUUCGAGAAAGUCAAGAGACCCGCCAUGGUAGCCAUGUUUCAGAGCUUGUUCAGCUCCGCGACAAAGAGAAGGAGGCCCGCUUUGAGCUACAACAUACUCAGGAUCUGCUGCGCAAGGAACAGGAAAGGAACAGGUUAUACUCUGAAAAGUUGGUGAAGCAGGAAGCAGUGGCUACAUCCCUUGAUCUCAGCGUGAAUACAUCUCGGAGUCGCAUCACGGAGCUCGAGAGCUACCAGAGCGGGGUGGAACAUGAAAACGCUCAGCUACGCAAAGACAAGACUCUUCUAGUGGACCAUGUGUCUGACCUGCAACGCAAGUUGGAGACGAAAGAUCGCGAUAUCAACACCCUCAGGUCCCAGAUGCACUUAAUGGAGUCCAAGGUACAGGAGCUCCAGCAUCUGAAACAGAUGGAGUCGUCCGUCCACACUCAGAAAUGGGAGGAGUUUGAGAAGUUGGCAGAGAGCAUGCGUAACCUGUCACACACAAUGUCCACAACCGGGACGUCAAGCUCCAACGUACUGCAGUAUUAAUUGAUGUCUCAUCUUGUACACCCUGAGGCUUCUUCAUUUUAGUCGACAGAGCAGCUAUGUAACAAAUGAGAAAAAACAGAGAAUCUGGUGAUCAGUUCCUCCUUAUACCAAGGCUUUUUAAACUGCAGUCUUUUUUUAUAAAGGCCUACUUCCAGAAAGUUGUGUCACUAUGUAGCUUCUGACUGGUAACCUGCUCCAACCAUGCCCUGUUUUAUUUAUUGUAGAUUAAUUUGCUUGUUGUAAGGUUUACUUCCUUUGAUAUAUGUUAGAACUAGGAGGUUAGUACAUUGUAAUCACCUUCUGGUUUAUAACAAAUGAAGGCAAACGUUUGGAAAUGGUUCUGAACAUACAAAUAUAAUUUUUAGCUGAUUAUGAUUGACAAAAAGUAGUAAUCUCUGACCACAGAUAUGCUGAUAUAUAGUAUGUUGAUCAGUCCACUUGACCUAACACAAAUCUGAUAGUUACUAAGACUUAUAGUAUAUGCAAGUGCUUUUCUAAUCCUAGACUGAUGGAAGAUUAAAAUGGUCUACACAAGACCACCAGGCAAUGACUGUUAAUUAGUGUUAGCAGUGGGACAGCCUGAAUCACUGGUGUCACAUGAUCUGUAAGACGUGUCACAUGAUCAAAAUGGUCUGUACUUCUAUUUCACCACGAUUGUACUUUUGGUAGAUAAAUAAAGGCAGAAAAAUGUCGGUAUAAUAGUCGAUUUCAUAUUAGUUUGUCACGUCUACUUAAAGAACUCGCACAACUUAAUCAUUUACUUGAUGCUAUUAUUUAGCUUUGAGCUAAUAGCUCUAAUAUUUGAAGUUCACCACUUUUGACAACUGUCUAGAUUUAUAGAUACAUAGCUGACAAAGGCUUCAAAAGGCAGUUUUUGUGAGUUUAGUGGCAUAUAAGAGCGCUACAAGCUUCUGCUUUUGACAACCGGAAGUUUACAAGCCUCACCGGUGAAGUGUGAUGGGAACACCCCCCUGACUUUUGAUCACCAUAUAAAUCCAACGUCGCUCAUAAAUCUAGUAAAACUAAUCAUAUUUCCAAAGUUCAAUAUCUGUAGAUUUCAUUCAAUAAAAAUAUGUCAACAAUUACAUUUAAAUUACUCGGAGGCACUGUAUUUAACCGGAAUUUUAGGUAGGGAUUACACUGAUCGUAUGAAACACUUGCUGAUUGGCUUAUUUAGUUGUGUGAGUCCUCAAAGAACCAGUAUUCAUUAAGAUAGUUUGGAUAUCUGUGACAUUUUAUAUACAAUGUAGCUUCAAUACUGAUGAAUUUUUCAUAAUAAUUGGAGGUUAGAAAUGGAAGAAUGAAUCUCUUUGUGAAAAUGAAUAAUUUUACUUGUAUAAACAUCAUUCCUUGUAAAGGAAAAUUAAAUUCAACAUCAUUUUGUCAUUCAUCAAUAACAAAUAUUAUUAUUUGAUGAUGAUUAAAACUUAUGAAGAAUUGAAAUGAUUUGCUGUGCUGUUCAAAUGUAAUAAGCCAUGCCAGGCUCAUUGACAGGCUAUAAAGAUGUAGGAAGGAACUAGGAUUUUAUACUAAAUAAUGGGCUUAUUUCGGGUUUGUAAUUGAGAUGGGUGGGAUAUGGUAAACUGCAUGUAGAAGAUUUGGAGGAAUCGCAUGAUAGCAAUAAAGAAAAAUAAAAAAAGAUGUGUGGUCAUUUAGAUUUUUCAUGCUAUGCUGCCAGUUCAAAAGACAUCAGUUCUGAUGUUUUAGGAGUUUUCUAUUCUUUCCUGUAAAGAAAGUUUAAGCUAAGUUUGUUUUUUGUUGCAUAUAUUGUAUUUAUCCAGAUGUGGUAGAGUAUGAUUUUUUUUCUAGAAUAAUUUCAUUGUAAAAGAAAUGGUUUUGGUUUUACCGAAAAAGUCUUGCCUUACUUUGGUAUUUGUUGUCAUUUAGAUAGAAUUAUUUAUCAUCCUCAUAAUUUUUUCUAAAUUAUUUAAUUUUUAGUGAACAAAUUGACUCGGCUGUAACUUUUAUUGUAAAUUUGAUAAAACCUUCAUUCCUGUAACAUGCAAAAUUUUCAGCGAAUACUUAAUAUGUAUCAAACAUGUUGAAAAAAAUGAAUUAUUUAGAAAAAAAGAUACCCAUCUGUAUACCAUUCAUGUAUUUUUUACUGUGACAUUUCAAAACGAAAAAAAAAUCAAAAAAAUCUAGAAGACGGAUUGUUACAAUAAAAAUAUUCUUGUCUGGAUCAGUAUUCUCAAGCAGCUGUUUGCAAUUUUAACAGUUUUAACAGUCUUAAAAUGGUGGUACUCUUGUUAUCUCUUAGAACGACCACAGGGGAAAGGCAAAGACUAACCCCCACCCCUUCUAUGCUUAUAUAGUGUGGGGUUAGUCUGUGCCUGGCCCCUGAGAGUAAGACUAAUCGGGUAUUGUGUUGUGGAACAAGUUAACAUGUAAUUAACAUAUUGCUAUCAAGUGUCUGUGAUGAAGUUGAUUUCAGGUAUGAUCUGUGAUUGAUAUCUCUUAGUUGUGUUUAUUGUGAUAUUUUCAUGACAUUCCGUUGUUUUUAUUUAACACAAGGUAUCGUUUACUUAAAUCCGUCCAAAUACUGUAGUUUCCUGCAGAUAGUCAAGUGUUACUUUUAAAUGAGAUUUUUAUUUUAUGUUAUUAGAUAGAAAAUAACUUAUAAUCAAUAUAUAAUUUAAUUAGUCUGGUUUGUUUUAGAUUUAUUUUCCUAUGACGUAGAUAUCUAAAAUAUUCAAACAUGCCAUUAUGUAUACCUGGAAAAUUUUGCAGAGCAAAGCUUUCACCCUCGGCAGAAUAAUCCAUAUUAACCUAGUGUUAAUUUCGCCCUUCACAUUUAAUAACUAAGCAUAUUGUGUUGUUUAUAAUUAUUCACUGUAAUGAUAAAUUUGACACCUUCAUUACGUCAGGCGAAAAAAAGGCGAAAAAUUAUACUGCAGCGAAAAAUUCUUGGUAUACAGUUUUCAAUUUGAUUUUUUUUAGGAUGAUUUUUUUUUUUGAGAAUAUUGAUUUAUACAUUUAAAUAUUGGAUUCUGUCAUUGAAUCAUCAAAUGAUGUGGAAACUUGUGUCAUAGAAAAUAUGAAUUAAUCCAAGCUGACAAGGCAGUAAACAACAAGAGUCUAGGAACAGAUAUUUAAAGCAUUGUUAGCUUAAGCAGACAUUUUAACAAUGAUUUUUGUCUCGUUAUUAUGAUAAUUUUUUUAUGUUCCUGGUCUUCACACAUCAUAUUAACUCAUUCACCACUGAAGAAACAUUUGAACUCUUCCAAUUCAAAGGUUGGAAUAAUUCAUUAUGAAAUUUCAGGGGUGAAUGAGUUAAUUUUCUGUUCAGUACAUGUAUUUGUACCAUAGAUCUUUUAUUUCAACCUUUUAAGCUGACAAGGCUUUGAAGUAGUGGGAUGAACUUUUUUACUUAUGUAUUCUCAGUUAACUGUACAUUAAAAUAAAAGAGUAAUGUUGUAGCUACAAUAUUUCCUAUUUCAUUUUUUUUUAAUGUUUCAAAUGUAGGAAAAAUUGAGGAUUUCAUUGUAUUUUCUUUGAAUUAGUUUUAAGUUAUAGAUAAUUUUUACGAUUAUUUUUUCUUUUUCACUUUUUAUUCCUGAAAUUUUAUUCACAUAUAUGUAUUAAAAUUGUUUAUGAAUUAAUUGUUGCAUAAAAAAUGGGAAUUUUUGUUUAUUGGGAAAUCUGUAAUAAUUUGAAAGUUCAAGUAGAUCUGACAAAACUUACCGGUACCAAAAUAAUUCCAGAAUAAUUUGAUUUCAGUGUGUAUAUGUUACAUGGUAUGAAGUUUAAACAGCAUUUCUAUGAGUCUGUCCACGUAAAUUGUCCACUUCAGACCUGAGUCAGUGAACAUGUGUUUGUACGUUUAUAUCUUUUCAAUGCAUUUUUCGCUUUGAACCUGGGGUGAAGUUCAAAGCUCUUUAUCAACGAAUCAUUAUCUGUCCCUGUAGCUUUAUAGUAUAGCAUUGUCUUCAGUGCCACCAACUUGCUGCUAAAUGAUGAUGACUUAAGGAUGUAUGCUACUUUACACAUAACAUCUGUGACUUGUGAUGGAGUUGACCACUUGAAAAAAUAACAAAUACCUAAUGGCCAUGCAUCAAUGUUUACAUAUAGUAACUGAGCUCAUUUUGUUUCCUGAGCGCCUCUACUAGGAGUCGAACACCUGACUACAGAUCUCUAGUCCAGUGCUGUACUGGUUGAACUAAAGGGAAUUUCCCUCUAGGUGCAUCAGUAACAAGUGACAAGAUUUGUCAACACUGACUUAUAUUACCGGUAAUUGUCUUAUCAAUAAAUCAACUUUGUCCUGAUCAAAGUAUGUUAUUGUACAGGUUUCAUAAUAUAGACCUGUUAUGGACCUUAAGUUGUAAGGUAACAUAUGUCCUUAAGUUGUAGAGCAACAUAUCUCCUUAAGUUGCAAGGUAACAUACAUCCUUAAGUUGUAAAGUAACAUAGUCCUUAAGUUGUAAGGUAACAUACAUCCUUAAGUUGUAAAGUAACAUAGUCCUUAAGUUGUAAGGUAACAUACGUACUUAAGUUGUAGAGUAACAUACAUCCUUAAGUUGUAAGGUAACAUACGUACUUAAGUUGUAAACAUACCUACUUAAGUUGUAAGGUAACAUGCGUACUUAAGUUGUAAAGUAACAUAGUCCUUAAGUUGUAAGGUAACAUACAUACUUAAGUUGUAAGGUAACAUACAUCCUUAAGUUAUAAAGGAACAUACCUCCUUAAGUUGUAGAGUAGCAUACCUCCUUAAGUUGUAGCAAUGAAGACCAGCAGGAUAACUGUCUAUAGCCACUGUAGCACAUACAGCUAAAACAUGUAUCUACACCUAAGCUACCUGUCAUAUUAAAGUUAUAUAUAUUUAUUUACUGUU